RNAcentral lists this ribosomal RNA (320 nucleotides) under uncultured eukaryote. RNAcentral's name for it is "partial 18S ribosomal RNA". It matches the Rfam family "Eukaryotic small subunit ribosomal RNA", at positions 1470 to 1796 of the family's 1831-position model. The record is from RNAcentral.
CCCUUAGAUGUUCUGGGCUGCACGCGUGUUACAAUCGGGAGUACAACAAGAUUGCAAAUCCUAGUGGAUGAGUGGUUCUUCGAAAUUUUCUGAAGACUGGGAUAGUUGAUUGAAAUUAUUCAACUCAAACGAGGAAUUCCUUGUAAUUGUAAUUCAUUAUAUUGUAAUGAAUACGUCCCUGCCCUUUGUACACACCGCCCGUCGCUCCUACCGAUUGAACGAUCCGGUGAAUUAUUUGUAGUAGCUCUGGAAGUUGCAGAACUUCCUAUGUCACGAAAUUUUGUAAACCUUAUCGUUUAGAGGAAGGAAAAGUCGUAACA